AGUGGCGAACGGGUGAGUAAUGCGUGACCGACCUGCCCCAUACACCGGAAUAGCUCCUGGAAACGGGUGGUAAUGCCGGAUGCUCCAGUUGGAUGCAUGUCCUUCUGGGAAAGAUUCAUCGGUAUGGGAUGGGGUCGCGUCCUAUCAGCUUGAUGGCGGGGUAACGGCCCACCAUGGCUUCGACGGGUAGCCGGCCUGAGAGGGCGACCGGCCACAUUGGGACUGAGAUACGGCCCAGACUCCUACGGGAGGCAGCAGUGGGGAAUAUUGCACAAUGGGCGCAAGCCUGAUGCAGCGACGCCGCGUGCGGGAUGACGGCCUUCGGGUUGUAAACCGCUUUUGACUGGGAGCAAGCCCUUCGGGGUGAGUGUACCUUUCGAAUAAGCACCGGCUAACUACGUGCCAGCAGCCGCGGUAAUACGUAGGGUGCAAGCGUUAUCCGGAAUUAUUGGGCGUAAAGGGCUCGUAGGCGGUUCGUCGCGUCCGGUGUGAAAGUCCAUCGCUUAACGGUGGAUCCGCGCCGGGUACGGGCGGGCUUGAGUGCGGUAGGGGAGACUGGAAUUCCCGGUGUAACGGUGGAAUGUGUAGAUAUCGGGAAGAACACCAAUGGCGAAGGCAGGUCUCUGGGCCGUCACUGACGCUGAGGAGCGAAAGCGUGGGGAGCGAACAGGAUUAGAUACCCUGGUAGUCCACGCCGUAAACGGUGGAUGCU
This 712-nucleotide ribosomal RNA is filed under the name uncultured bacterium. RNAcentral describes it as "bacterial SSU rRNA". It matches the Rfam family "Bacterial small subunit ribosomal RNA", at positions 94 to 817 of the family's 1533-position model. The record is from RNAcentral.